This 1191-nucleotide long non-coding RNA is filed under the name Ornithorhynchus anatinus (platypus). RNAcentral's name for it is "lncRNA (ENSOANG00000039017.1)". The record is from RNAcentral. Lineage: Eukaryota; Metazoa; Chordata; Mammalia; Monotremata; Ornithorhynchidae.
CCAGCUCCACCACUUGUCUGCUGGGUGACCUUGGGCAAGUUGAGAAGCAGUAUGGCCUAGUGGCAAGAACAUGGGCUUGGGAGCCAGAGGUCGUGGGUUCUAAUCCCUGCUCCAUCACUUGUCUGCUGUGUGAUCUUGGGCAAGUCACUUAACCUCUCUAUGCCUCUGUUACCUUAUCUGUAAAAUGGGUUUGAGACUAUGAGCCUCAUGGGGGACAACCUGAUGACCUUGUAUCUACCCCAGCGUUUAGAACAGUGUUUGGCACAUGGUAAGCACUUAACAAAUACCAUAAUAAUUAUUACUAUUAUUAUUCUCUGUGCCUCAGUUACCUCAUCUGUAAAAUGGGGAUUGAAUCUGUAGGCCCAACGUGGUACAGGGACUGUGUCCAACCUGAUUUGCUUGUAUCUCCCUAGUGCUUAGAACAGUGCCUGGCACAUAGUAAGUGCUGAAUAAAUGCUAUUCUUCUUCUUAUUGUUAUUUAACUGUUCUGUCCCUCAGUUUUCUCAUCUGUAAAAUGGGACACAAAUUCCUGCUCUUCAUCCCUCUUUGACUGUUAUCACCAUAUGGAGCAGGGACUGCGUCCAAACUAAUAACCAUGUCUCUAUCUGAGUGCUUGGCACAUAAAAGUGCUUAACAAACACGAAAAUCAUUAUUAUUAAGUAGUAUGAACAGACACCACAACAGCAUAUUGAAUGCCUUUUACCCUUCUUCUCACUGCAUUUCUUUUUCUUUCAGGCAGCAACUGUUCCUCCAGACCAACGCCAUCCUUUUCUCCUCUUUCGCCUGCUCUGAGUUUGUCAUUAUGGGCCUCUUUUUCUUGCUGAUUCAUGGUGGGGAAGAAAGAGGACAAGGGCAUAGGAAAAGCAACAGGAGGGACCUGCUACUGAGAAGCUUUGGCAUAAGAAUUGACAACUACGGAAAGAUGGAAGAUGGGAAGAAGAAAAGAAAGCUCCUGGAGAUAUAACUUGAAUUUGACUUGACAGUCUUUACUCAAAAUGAUUGAGAAACAUGAAUGCCUCUUAGAAGAAAAGGUCAAUUCUCCCUGUUUUGUAGAGUCUGUAAAUAGAAGGCCCACGGGAUCGUGCAAAACAAAGUUGAGGGAAACCAGAGUGUCGUGGUGCCUUGCAAGGGUUUAUGACAACUUUGUCCCUGCAAUCUCACAGAGAUACAUGUACCCAUCCUUCAAAAUAG